Molecule: long non-coding RNA, 10805 nt
Filed under: Homo sapiens (human)
Lineage: Eukaryota; Metazoa; Chordata; Mammalia; Primates; Hominidae
Description: HSALNT0232985
Source: RNAcentral
AGGCUGGUCUCGAACUCCCAGCCUCAGGUGUUCCGCCCACCUCCGCCUCCCAAAGUGUUGGGAUUACAGGUGUCAGCCACUGCGCCCAGGCUUUUUCCCCCUUUUUGAGACAGGAUCUCACUCUGCUGCCCAGACUGGAAUGCCGGUGGCGCAAUCACAGUUGACUGUAGACUCGACCACCUGGGCUCAAAUGAUCCUACCUCAGGCCCCCGAGUAGCUAGGACCAUAGGCAUACGCCACCAGACCUGGCUAAAUUUUUUUUUUUUUUUUUUUUUUCAUAAAGACAGGGUCUUGCUAUGUUCCCCAGGCUGGACUUGAACUCUCAGACUCCUGCCUCAGCCUCCCAAGUAGCUGGGACUACAGGUGUGCACUACUUUUGUUGUUUUUUUUGUUGUUGUAGAGAUGAUGUCUUGCUAUGUUGCCCAGGCUGAUCUCCAACUCCUGUUCUCAAAUGAUCCUCCCAACGUGGCCUCCCAAAGAGCUGAGAUUGCAGAUAUGAGCCACCUUGCUCAGUCCUCAGACUUCUUUGCUUUUUAUUUCACCUGAUGCUGUUGUUGUUUUCAAAUAGAUGAGUUUAAUCCAUUUCACUUGGAGUUAUGUUACUAUCUUAUUCAGUAUUUUGUCUACUAUUUUUUCUGUAUUUUUUUUCUUUUCCUGACUUGGGUUGACAUAUUAUCUCCACCCUCACCUUUUUUUUUUUUUUUUUUUUUUUUUUUUGAGACGGAGUCUCACCCUGUCACCCAGGCUGGAGUGCAGUGGCUUGAUCUCGGCUCACUGCAAGCUCUGCCUCCCAGGUUUAUGCCAUUCUCCUGCCUCAGCCUCCCCCGUAGCUGGGACCACAGGUGCCCACCACCAUGCCCGGCUAAUUUUUUUUUGUAUUUUUAGUAGAGACAGGGCUUCACCAUGUUAGCCAGGAUGGUCUUGAUCUCCUGACCUCGUGAUCUGCCUGCGUCGGCCUCCCAAAGUGCUGGGAUUACAGGCGAGAGCCAACACGCCCGGCCAACCCUCACCACUUUUUUUCCCCCUCCUGGUCUGGAAAUUAUAUUACUUUUUUUUUAGUGAUUAAUCUUAUAUUGUUAGCUUAUGUACAUUUUCUUGAUGAAGUCUUCAGUUUUUCAGUAAUGCCAUUCUCUUAACAAGGCAGAAAUUUGGUGUGGCUUAACAAUAAAAUUCUCUAUUCUUAUUCUUCCUUGGUAAUGUGGUCAACAAUUCUAGUUUUCUCUUAAAAAAAAAAAUUAAAAGCCCAUUUAGAUCCUGUUUUUUUUUUUUUUUUUUGUCUCUGUGUUUUGCCGUCUGUAGCAGACACUGUUGGCUGUCUACCAGCGGCCACUCUCUUUUUCGCUUGCCAACAGAAUCCUGAUUUGUUUGGGCAGCUAAGGACCCAGUCCUGGCAGAUGAUGCAAGACUGGCCAAAGCCAACCAGCGCCAACCACAGCAAGCCUGUCCCUUUUUCACCAGGAAUUGGUUUGAGGAUGGACCAGCUCAGGUCAAUGAGACCCAAGGGAGUAUGUGUUAGGGCCAUCUUGGAAAGAUUUUCCUUUCCAAAUAAGCAGCCGGGCGCAGUGGCUCACAACUGUAAUCCCAGCGCUUUGGGAGACUGAGGCAGGCAGAUCACCUGAGGUCAGGAGUUCGAGACCAGCCUGGGCAACAUGGUGAAACCCCAUCUCUACUAAAAAUACAAAAAUUAGCUGGGCGUGGGGUCAAGUGCUUGUAUUUCCAGCUACUCAGGAGGCUAAGGCACAAGAAUCACUUGAACCCACGAGGUGGAAGUUGAAGUGGGCGGAGCGGAGAUCACACCUUCCAGCCUGGAUGACAGUGAUUGCAAUAAAAAAUAAAAAAAAAAAAAGCAGCAGCAGCACAUGAAGAAAAAGCUUCCUUUCUCCUAGGAUCUCUGUGCCUUCCUGCCUGGGAUGUUACAGGGUGAUGAUAUAAUGUCUGGAGCUAUGGCAGCCAUCUCACGACCAUGAGAGACAUCUUGCACCCUCGUAUGGCAGAGUAGAAAGAUCGAGGGUCCUUCAUGUUCCUAUGUGACCUACUGCCCCAACCCUGGAACUACUGACCUCCACACUUCUUGUUAUAAACUAAUCCAGUGUUUUCCAGUUUAAGUCAUUGUGGGUUACUCUGCUACUUGCAUCCUAAUAUAUUGUUAAUAGUUAAUUCAGGCCAGGCACGGUGGCUCACACCUGUAAUCCCAGCACUUCAGGAGGCUGAGGCAGGCGGAUCACCUGAGGUUGGGAGUUCGAGAGCAGCCUGACCAACAUGGAGAAACCCCGUCUCUACUGAAAAUACAAAAUUAGCUGGGUGUGGUGGCGGAUGUCUGUAAUCCCAGCUACUCAGGAGGGUGAGGUGGGAGAAUCGCUUGAACCCGGGAGGCAGAGGUUGCGGUGAGCCGAGAUCACCCCAUUGCACUCCAGCCUGGGCAACAAGAGCGAAACUCCGUCUCAAAAAAAAAAAAAAAUAGUUAAUUCAAUUUACCAACAUAAUGCAUCCACUUCUGUGCUCACUGUUGGCACCAACAACCUGCUCUUUCUUCAGGGGUUUACUUUUCUUCUUACUGAAGUACAUCUGUAACCAUUCUUUCAGCAAAGGUCUGUAGGUGAUAAAACUGUCUUAGCCUGUCCAAAAAUACCUUUAUUUUACCUCAUUCUUGAAUGAUAGCUGGCUAUGGAAUUCCAGGUUGACAAGGAGCUUCUCUAAGACAUUCUUCUGUUGUUUUCUGGCAUCCAAUGUUGAUAAGAUAUUAUUUGUGAUCUAAUUGUCAAUUCUUUGAAUUCUUUCUUACCUCCAGUAGUUUUUAACUCUCUUGGUCUGGUCAGGUAUGGCAGCUCAUGCCUGUAAUCCCAGCACUUUGGGAGACCACGGUGGGCAGGUUGCUUGAGCCCAGGAGUUUGAGACCAACCUGGGCAACACGACAACACCCUAUCUCUACAAAAAAUACAAAAAUUAGCCGGGCGUGGUGGCAUGUUUCUGUAGGCCCAGCUACUCAGGAGGCUGAGGUGGGAGGAUCACCUGAGCCUGGCAGGUCAAGGCCACAGUGAACCGUGAUUACGCCACUGCCGCCCAACCUGGCCUCAAAAAGCAAAAUAAAGUUAUAUUAUUAUCUGCAGUUUGGCUGUAUUAUAUCUAGUGACAUAUUAUUUAUCCUGUUUGAUGUUCAUGCUGUUUUUUCGAAUCUGAAAUUUCAAGCCAUUAUCUCUUUAAAUAUUAUUUCUAGGCUGGGCAUGGUGGCUCAUACCUGUAAUCCCAGCAUUUUUGGAGGCCUAAGCAGGCGGAUCACUUGAGCUCAGGAGUUCGAGACCAGCUUAGGCAACAUGGCAAAACCGCGUCUCUAUAAUAAAAAAUAAAAAAAUUAAGCGUGGUAGCGCAUGCCUGUGGUCCCAGAAAGUCAAGACGCUAAGGCGAAAGGUUGGCUUGAGGCUGGGCACGGUGGCACACACCUGUAAUCCCAGUACUUUGGGAGGCGGAGGCAGGUGGAUCAGCUGAGGUCAGGAGUUCACGACCAGCCUGGCCAACAUGGUGAAACCCCGUAUCUACUAAUAAUACAAAAAAUAAGCCGGGCAUGGUGGCGGAUGCCUGUAAUCCUAGCUACUCGGGAGGCUGAGACAGGAGACUCACUUGAACCUGGAAGGCGGAGGUUGCAGUGAGCUAAGAUCGGGCCACUGCACUCCAGCCUGGGCAACAAGAGUGAAACUCUGUCUCAAAAAAAAAAAAAAAGUUAGCUGGGCAUGGUGGCAAGUGCCUACAGCCCUAGCUACUCGGGAAGCUGAGGGGGCAGGAUCAUUUGAACCAGGGAAGUCAAGGCUGCAUUGAGCCAUGAUCAUGCCACUGCACACCAGCCUGGGCAACAGAGUGAGACUCUGUCUCUAUAAAAAAUAAAAAGCUGGCCGGGCGCGGUGGCUCGCGCCUAUAAUCCCAGCACUUUGGGAGGCCGAAGCAGCCAGAUCACCUGAGGUCAGGAGUUCGAGACCAGCCUGACCAACAUGGAGAAACCCGUCUCUAUCAAAAAUACAAAAAAAAAAAAAAAAAAAAAAAAAAUUAGCCAGGCGUGGUUGCGCAUGCCUGUGAUCCCAGCUACUCCGGAGGCUGAGGCAGGAGAAUUGCUUGAGCCCAGGAAGCGGAGGUUGCAGUGAGUAGAGAUCAUGCCAUUGCACUCCAGCCUGGGCAACAAAAGCGAAACUCCAUCUCAAAAAAGAAAAUAAUAAAUAAAUAAAUAAAUAAAUAAAUAAAUAAAUAAAUAAAAGCUUUAGCCCCAGGAAAUGGUAACAACUUUUCUCAGGCUACUGUCCAGCUGUGGAUUCAAGCAAUUUCCUAGCUCAAUUCCAUGCUCCAAAUGGAACACUUUAUGGCUCUGUUAUCCCAAAUUUCUGCUUCCAGACUCAGAGACCAGCAGGCCUGCAGCUUCAGCCUGGCUUUCUUCCUUGUGUUCUUGUCUAUUUCUCAUCCACAGGGAUAUUUAUCAUGUUGAGUGUGGUGGGGGGUAGAAAAGUGGAGGCGUACAUGAAUAUAUUUUUAGAAUUUUAUCUUUUUAUGUAUUACUGCUAUGUGUUUAGAGUAUAAAUUUACAGUGCCAUCCUGACUGGAUGAAUUGGAUUUAACUAUUCAUACCAGGAAACUGGGCAUCCCUGCCAAUACUAAUCUCUUGGGAACAGGUAUCAAACCAUCUCUAACAAGAUUCAUAGAACUCUAGCCAACACAAUGAGGGCAGGAGACUGAGAUACCCUGGGGUCAACUGAAGAAAGGCCCAAUUGAAACUGCUCUCCCAUUCCCACUGCCACCUUCAUUCCAGUCCACAGAGGGAUAGGGCAGGGCGUGCAGACAUGCAAACGGGAUCUUUCAGAUGUGGCCUGGGCAGGCCUUCACUGACCCAGGUAACACGGGCCUUCAGUCUCUUCCACACCAUUUGCCCAUUUCAGUCUUUCACCUGACUAGUGAAAACUGCACACUGGCCAUACAAACACCCCUGAUGGAAGGCCCAUCUGACUCUCUUCAAGUCCCCAGUCUGCCAGCACAGGCCCAGCCUGAAGUUCCACUGAAAAUCGGAACAAUUGAUUCAGGAGCCAAAUUCUAGUCUAGACUGUUACCAAGCAGCCAAGCAGGUUACUUUUCAUUUCCAGGCCAAGAUUCUGUUUGUUUAUUUUUGAGAUAGAGUCUCACUCUGUCAUCCAGGCUGUAGUGCGGUAGUGUGAUCUCAGCUCACUGCAACCUCCGCCUCCUGGGUUCAAGUGAUACUCCUGACUCAGCCUCCCAAGUAGCUGGGACUACAGGCGCCUGCCACCACGCCCAGAUAAUUUUUCUAUUAUUAUUUAUUUAUUUAUUUAUUUAUUAUUUAUUUAUUUUUUUGAGACGGAGUCUCACUCUGUCACCCAGGCUGGAGUGCAGUGGCACGAUCUCGGCUCACUGCAAGCUCCACCUCCCGGGUUCAUGCCAUUCUCCUGCGUCAGCCUCCCGAGUAUCUGGGACUACAGGCGUCCGCCACCAAACCUGGCUAACUUUUUGUAUUUUUUAGUAGAGACGGGGUUUCACCGUGUUAGCCAGGAUGGUCUCGAUCUCCUUACCUCGUGAUCCACCUGCCUCGGCCUCCCAAAGUGCUGGGAUUACAGGCAUGAGCCAUCACGCCCAGCCAAUUUUUCUAUUAUUAGCAGAGAUGGGCUUUCGCCAUGUUGGUCAGGCUGGUCUCAAACUCCUGACUGUUAGGGAUGAGCUGCCCCAGGACCACCCCCCCGCCACAAUGCAGCUGACCCUUACCGUGAAUACUCUGCAGCUGCAUUCCUGAACCCUUAUCUAGGCACCACAGCAAGUCAUCAAACUUACUAGAUUACAGCCCUCCGGGCGGCACGGGGAAGGUCACAAGAAACGGAUAAACCUAAGAGGGAUACACCCUCUUGUAAAUUCCUAUUUUCACAAGAUAAUAUAUUGCAAGCCAGUCAGGAGAAGAUAUUCGUAAAGUUAACGGACAAACAACCCCAGGGUGUUUCUCUCUCUCUCCAUCUCCCGGGUUCAAGCGAUUCUCCUGCCUCAGCCUCCUGAGUAGCUGGGACUACCGGAGUGUGCCACCACACCUGGCUAACUUUUCUAUUUUUAGUAGAGAUGGGGUUUCACCAUGUUGGCUAGGCUGGUCUCAAAUUCCUGACUUCAAGUGAUCUACCCACCUCGGCCUCCCAAAGUGCUAGGAUUACAGGCGUUGAUCCACCGUGCCCAGCUUCCAAGAUUCUUUUUUUUUUUUUUUUUUUUCUUUUCUGAAACAGAGUCUCAGUCACCCAGCCUGGAGUGCAGUGGCACAAUCUUGGGAUCUUGGCUCACCGCAACCUCCGCCUCCCGGGUUCAAGCGAUUCUCCUGCCUCAGCCUCCUGAGUAGCUGGGACUACAGGCACGCGCCACCACGCCCAGCUAAUUUUUGUAUUUUUAGUAGAGAUGGGGUUUCACCAUGUUGCCUAGGCUGGUCUUCAAUUCCUGACUUCAAGUGAUCCACCCACCUCGGCCUCCCAAAGUGCUGUGAUUACAGGAGUGAGCCACCGAGCCCAGCUUCCAAGAUUCUUUAACAAUCAAAAGGAAGCAAUCCUACCUCCACUCUCUUCCUCCCGGAUGAUCGCAGUGUUGGUUACUGCUGACCACCACUGUGAUUUCCAGUUUUACCUAUUUCUUUCAGCUGCUAAUGUAUUUCAAAAGCAUGAGAUGGGGUGCCCUUAUUCAUGCAGCGAGGUCAAGAUCUUAACAUAAAUAGCAUUCAGAGAUGCCCAAACCAGGCCUCCCCAGCCUCAUCUCUUAUCAGACCCUAUUCUCUAAGGUUUACAAACUAAUUUGGAUCCCAAGCCAGAACUGGCCCACAUUUAUUAAGAUUCUACACUGAAACUAAAAAGACAUGUAUGUGUCUCUCACUUAAAAGAACCCUAAGAACUCUCAGGGUACAGAGACAAUGCUAUUUAAUUCCUCAUCUCUGUACCACUGUAGCGCCUAGCACUGUCCUGCAUAUAGGAGGCAUCAAUAAAUGUUUGCCCAACUGAGUAUCAUCUCUCUACAUAAGCCCAGGGCUAUAAAAAUCAAAAGAAAUGAUGGUUAUAAAAAAUGCUUUGAAACCAUUAUUAUGAAUUAUAUAAGUAUGCAUAUGAAAGUGAUAAUUAUAUUCUGCCCCCACUUUUCCAUCUCUGACAUUCUAGAAGUGAGAGCUUUCUCUAACUUCUCUUGGACCACCCAGAAACAUGAGACCUCAGGUACAAACCAAAUUGAGCAAAUCUGAGCCUGUGGGAAAGGGGUGUGCGUGUAAAGCUGAAGCAGGUGCCUGGACGACGGCAGGGACAGUGGGAGUGUGCUACUCUUAAGGGCCCAGCAACAAACACCUGGCACGGCUGCUGACCUGGAACUCCUGCAGCUCACUCCCCUAAGCACCGCAAGCUGCAGUCCUCCCAGCUGGGGCUUUCCAGAUCACUCACCCGUUCACCUCGGCUCAAAGCAUCUCCAGAUGAACAAAGUGCGUAGAAAAACUUGGAUUCACAUUGUGGGUUUGCCACUUGUCAGCUAUUGACCAUGUAACUUCUCUCAUGGUCCUGAUCUGUGCAAUGGGAAUAGCACCCAUCUCGAAGGGGUUCCAUGAGGAUUAUAUAAAGGCACACAUAAAGCUCUACCUCCAUGGCUAUGGUCAUGGGUUGGGCAGAUUGAGGGUCACAGCUCUGCAGGAGCCCCAUGGCAUCACAAGGAAGGCACAAACCCCUCCCACACAGCACUGACUCUGGCUCCACAGCGCCCCAGCCCCACCCCACCUUCCCAGCCCCCACUUCCCACAGGAACUCUCCUCCCUGGGGCCCCACUCCCAGCAGGCACCGGCCUCCAGGAAGGUUGCGGUUUCAGGGCCAGCCCUACCUUGGUUGAUCCUUGCCCCUAGACCCAGCAGAGGACGGUGCGCGUCCAUCCUAUGGGACACGGCCGUAACCCCUUCCCCAGCCCCCACUUUAGCACACCCUGCAGAGCAGAGGCCUGACCUGAGCUGGCUCUAAACAGCUCCCUGAGGCUGGAGGCCAGACAGCCACAAGCCAGGAGCAAGAUUCUAGAAUACAAAGCUAUUAUAAUAAGGAGUUUCUCUGCAAGGCCAAAAGCCUCAGACAUUAAUAGAGGCAGAAGAUGAGUUGCAGACCCUGAAGUCCUCCUGCCCAGCCAAGCUACCAAGGUGGGGUGUCCGCCAGAACCACUGGGGCCAGGCAAUAUGAUGACAGCAACAGUCCAGGCUGCAGUAAUGUCUUUUGGAAAGGUCAGCCUGUGGCAGCUAUGCUCAUGGAAACUCAAGGAAGGUGUUUGCAUCCAUGCUUCUACCAGAAGACUAAAAGGAAGCCAUGUCCUCCCACCCAGCCCUCCAGAGUGAAGGUAUAGAAAUGCAGAGUAAAAGAUGGAGGGAACCAGAGGUGGGCCCCUUGCUCAGCUGCUGUGUCCUCUGGACACUUCCUUUCCAACAGGGACCCUGGAAGUUCCAGCUAGGAAGAGAGGUCAUUGUGAGCCCACGGCCAGCCUGGUGCCAUCUGGUAACUUCCAGCACCAACCCUGCAGGUGGCUUUGGGAAGCAUCGCUGUCCUGCACCCUGCUUUUCCCUGUCACUAAGGUUCAGCCCUGGGAGGUGGGCUGGGGAGGACAGUGCCUGAGAGCCCAGCACACACCUGCCUUCAUGGUCCCGAGCUCCAGCUGAGCAGUCUUCCUCUUUCCUGAGGAGCCGAUGACAUGCUGUGACCUACUCAGGCAGGGCCCCUGGUUGCUAGGGAAUCAGUUCACCACCUCUGGAAAGUGGCAAUAUCGCUGCUGUGAGUAGGCCCAAAGUGGGCCUUUCCCUGGCACCGCCUCUGAGCCUUAUCCCCGGGGUGAGAAAAACGAAGGUUGGGGGACGCCAAGGGCCCUCCUCGGUCCCUGCUGCCCAUCCUCAAGGACUGACCUGCCCUCCUGGAUCUGGCCUAAGCUGAGUUAUAAGCUCCCUGCCAAGACAACAUCCAUCGUGCCAUGUACUACUGUUGUCAACUUUAGGGGGAUGUGGAAAGGAAGGACGCACAGACCUUGGUCCAUUACAGUGGACCCCAGGGAGCUGUCUUUGUUGUCCAGCUUUAUGAUACAGCUUGGGGUUACACAGGCAUCGCCCACAUGAUGGUGCUAUCAGGGACUGGGGAUGUGAGGAGGUGGGGCCCAGGGCCCGCUUUCAAGCCCCACCCCUCCUUGAGACAAGGUCUUACUCCAGCCCAGGCUGGAGUGCAGUGCUAGGAUCAUGGCUCACUGCAGUCUUGGCCUCCUGCCUCAGCCUCAGCAUCCUGAGCAGCUGGGACCACAGGUACACACAACACCGCACCUGACUUCGCUUUCAGAGUCCAAAGCCCUCAUAGGGCCAUUGUGAGGCUAGGGCAUCCCCACCCCAUAUGUGGUUAACUCAUGCCUAUGAAUUACCAUUUUGUUUGUUGUUAUUGUUUGUUUUUGUAAAGCUAGGAUCUUGCUAUGCUGCCCAGGCUGGUCUUGAACUCCUGACCCCAAUCCUCCCGUCUCAGCCCCCGAAAGUGCUGGAAUUACGGGCCUGAGCCACCAAGCCCAGCCUGCACUAACAUUUCACAGGGAAUGAUGGACCAAUGCUGGAGGACCUUGAUUCCAGGACUGGCUGUGCUCAAUAGCAGAGCAGCUGUGUGUCUUUGGGCAAAUCACACCUCUCUGGGCUGCAGGUCCUCCAUUUGUAAAAUGAGCACGAUAAUGCCUACCUACUGACCUCACGCACUCCCUGCAAAGAUUAAAUGAGCAAUGACUGUAGGCUGUGGAGUGCUGUAUCUCCAAGUAACAUUGACUUUCAGCCUCAUAGAGAGGAAGGAAACAGGGACGAGAGGUGACACUGCAGCUAAGCCAAAGGGAACAGGUGUGUGUGACAUGGGACUGGGGGACCAGUUAAAACCGGCCCCAGGCAUAAACAGACAGGGUGCUCUGGGCGCUGAGCAGGAGAAGCAGACAGGUCAGUCUGGGCUGGCAGACAGUUCGGGAGAGAAAUGGCUGUCAGCAAACAUCUGAAGGGCAAGAGGAAAGACACAGGAGUGAGAGGCUCAGAAUGCAAGAGGCAUCCAGUCCCAAACUUCACUCCCGAGAACUCAGGAGCUGGUGAGCAUUGCCCCAAAGCUCCCAGGCACACCAGCAUUUUGCUAAUACACACAUAACGCCACACCCUCAGAGUCCAAAGCCCUCAUAGGGGCAGCCUUGACCUCUGGCCCAGAGACCCCAGCAAAGUGACUCACCUGAGGUAAGAAGCCUGUGUAAGACUGAACUGAGGUCUCCUCUUAAGUCAGAGGCUCAAAGCCCAAAGCACGCUGCUAAGCUCUUACUACAACACUCCAUUCCUGGCUUUGCCAAGCUGAGUCAAAUACCUGUCCCCUCACAAACUGGAAGUGACAGAGAACUGAGUCCAAAAGAGCGCUAUUUUUGUUUUUCUGUACCUGAAACUGGCACCACUGUCCUGGGCAUUCUCUUCCAAAGGAGGAGACAGAGGGGGAGCACGACUCACCCCAAAUCCCUCAACAGAAUUGAGAAAACACAGCCACACCAGAGCCAUGUCCUCAUCCCAGUGCCAGCAAGAAACAGCACAGGAGGGUGGGCAUUCAGGAAGCUGACGUCACUGAAUGUCUCCAUCUCAGACCUUUCCUAACACCAGCUAUCACACAGAUCUCCCCCCGGGCCAUUAAGAGGAAGGGACCAUUUGCCAUAAAAAUCAACACUUUAGGCUGGGCGCGGUGGCUCACGCCUGUAAUCCCAGCACUUUGGGAGGCUGCGUCCGGAAGAUCACCUGAGGUCAGGAGUUUGAAUCCAGCCUG